Molecule: ribosomal RNA, 492 nt
Filed under: uncultured bacterium
Lineage: Bacteria
Description: partial 16S ribosomal RNA
Rfam family: Bacterial small subunit ribosomal RNA
Source: RNAcentral
GAUGAACGCUAGCUACAGGCUUAACACAUGCAAGUCGAGGGGAAACGACAUCGAAAGCUUGCUUUUGAUGGGCGUCGACCGGCGCACGGGUGAGUAACGCGUAUCCAACCUGCCCAUCACUUGGGAAUAACCUUGCGAAAGUAAGACUAAUACCCAAUGAUAUCCCACGAAGGCAUCGGAAUGGGAUUAAAGAUUUAUCGGUGAUGGAUGGGGAUGCGUCUGAUUAGCUUGUUGGCGGGGUAACGGCCCACCAAGGCAACGAUCAGUAGGGGUUCUGAGAGGAAGGUCCCCCACAGUGGAACUGAGACACGGUCCAAACUCCUACGGGAGGCAGCAGUGAGGAAUAUUGGUCAAUGGGCGAGAGCCUGAACCAGCCAAGUAGCGUGCAGGAAGACGGCCCUAUGGGUUGUAAACUGCUUUUAUAAGGGAAUAAAGUGGGUCACGUGUGACUUUUUGCAUGUACCUUAUGAAUAAGAACCGGCUAAUUCCGUG